UCGCAGAGACGAGUAGAGUGGCGCACGUGUGAGUAACACGUGGAUAAUCUACCUUCAAAUCGGGAAUAACCAUUCGAAAGGAUGGCUAACGCCGGAUAAAGUCAGAAAUUCUUUGGAGUUUUUGAUGAAAGGGUGCCUCUGAUUAAAGCAUCUGUUUGAAGAUGAGUCCGCGCACCAUUAGUUUGUUGGUGGGGUAACGGCCUACCAAGACUGCGAUGGUUAGCUGGUCUGAGAGGAUGAUCAGCCACACUGGAACUGACACACGGUCCAGACUCCUACGGGAGGCAGCAGUGAGGAAUUUUGCGCAAUGGGGGAAACCCUGACGCAGCAACGCCGCGUGAGUGAAGAAGGCCCUUGGGUCGUAAAGCUCUGUCAAUGGGGAAGAAGUUACUUCAUAUUAAUAGUAUGUUGUAUUGACGGUACCCAUGAAGGAAGCACCGGCUAACUCCGUGCCAGCAGCCGCGGUAAUACGGGGGGUGCAAGCGUUAUUCGGAAUUAUUGGGCGUAAAGGGCACGCAGGCGGUCCUGUCAGUCAGAUGUGAAAGCCCGGGGCUCAACCCCGGACGUGCAUUUGAAACAGCAGGACUUGAGUACGGGAGAGGAAAGGGGAAUUCCUGGUGUAGAGGUGAAAUUCGUAGAUAUCAGGAGGAACACCGGUGGCGAAGGCGCCUUUCUGGACCGAUACUGACGCUGAGGUGCGAAGGCGUGGGUAGCGAACGGGAUUAGAUACCCCGGUAGUCCACGCAGUAAACGUUGUAUGCUAGGUGUAGCGGGUAUUGACCCCUGCUGCGCCGCAGUUAACACAUUAAGCAUACCGCCUGGGGAGUACGGUCGCAAGACUAAAACUCAAAGAAAUUGACGGGGGCCCGCACAAGCGGUGGAGCAUGUGGUUUAAUUCGACGCAACGCGAAGAACCUUACCCAGACUUGACAUCUUGAGAAUCCUUUAGAAAUUUAGGAGUGCCUUCGGGAGCUCAAAGACAGGUGCUGCAUGGCUGUCGUCAGCUCGUGUCGUGAGAUGUUUGGUUAAGUCCAGCAACGAGCGCAACCCUUGUCUUCAGUUGCCAGCACAUAAUGGUGGGAACUCUGAAGAGACUGCCCCGGUUAACGGGGAGGAAGGUGGGGAUGACGUCAAGUCCUCAUGGCCCUUAUGUCUGGGGCUACACACGUGCUACAAUGGUAUGUACAACGGGCAGCAAGCGUGCGAGCGC
RNAcentral lists this ribosomal RNA (1210 nucleotides) under metagenome. RNAcentral's name for it is "bacterial SSU rRNA". It matches the Rfam family "Bacterial small subunit ribosomal RNA", at positions 77 to 1264 of the family's 1533-position model. The record is from RNAcentral.